This 248-nucleotide small RNA is filed under the name Octodon degus (degu). RNAcentral describes it as "7SK RNA (ENSODEG00000024561.1)". The stretch from base 1 to 187 matches the Rfam family "7SK RNA". From Rfam's summary of the family: 7SK was discovered as an abundant small nuclear RNA in the mid-70s but a possible function has only recently been suggested. Two independent studies have found that 7SK RNA binds the CDK9/cyclin T complex (known as elongation factor P-TEFb). Lineage: Eukaryota; Metazoa; Chordata; Mammalia; Rodentia; Octodontidae. The record is from RNAcentral.
AUACGUGAGGGCAGUAUGGCUGUGACAUCAGUCAGCCCAUUGAUCACCAGAGUUGAUCCAGCUGAUCUGGCUGGCGAGGUGGGCGUCUCCUUCAUACCUCAUAGCUGCAUGUGCCACCCUCCCAAAGUCACUGGGUCAAGGAAGAUCACUACCCCUAGUAGAGUAGGAGGUUUUCUUUCUUUUUUAAAAUAAUUUUAUUGAGACAAACAUAGCAAUGAGAGUUUCAAAACCGAAUAGUAGCACAGUUU